RNAcentral lists this ribosomal RNA (168 nucleotides) under Alternaria panax. RNAcentral describes it as "5.8S ribosomal RNA". It matches the Rfam family "5.8S ribosomal RNA". From Rfam's summary of the family: 5.8S ribosomal RNA (5.8S rRNA) is a component of the large subunit of the eukaryotic ribosome. It is transcribed by RNA polymerase I as part of the 45S precursor that also contains 18S and 28S rRNA. Lineage: Eukaryota; Fungi; Ascomycota; Dothideomycetes; Pleosporales; Pleosporaceae. The record is from RNAcentral.
CAUAAUAAUUACAACUUUCAACAACGGAUCUCUUGGUUCUGGCAUCGAUGAAGAACGCAGCGAAAUGCGAUAAGUAGUGUGAAUUGCAGAAUUCAGUGAAUCAUCGAAUCUUUGAACGCACAUUGCGCCCUUUGGUAUUCCAAAGGGCAUGCCUGUUCGAGCGUCAUU